This 677-nucleotide ribosomal RNA is filed under the name uncultured marine group III euryarchaeote. RNAcentral's name for it is "bacterial SSU rRNA". It matches the Rfam family "Archaeal small subunit ribosomal RNA", at positions 321 to 1000 of the family's 1478-position model. Lineage: Archaea; Methanobacteriati; Thermoplasmatota; Thermoplasmata; Candidatus Thermoprofundales. The record is from RNAcentral.
CCCUAUGGGGUGCAGCAGGCGCGAAACCUCCACAAUGCACGAAAGUGUGAUGGGGCUACCUCGAGUGCCGCCUGAAGAAGGCGGCUUUUCAGUGGUUUAACUAGCCAUUGGAAUAAGAGGGGGGCAAGACUGGUGUCAGCCGCCGCGGUAACACCAGCCCCUCGAGUUGUGGGGAUGUUUAUUUGGCCUAAAGCGUCCGUAGCCGGUUCGGUAAAUCCUUCGUUAAAUCCAGCGUCCUAAGCGUUGGGCCGCGAGGGAGACUGCCGAACUAGAGGGUGGGAAAGGUCAGCGGUAUUUCUGGGGUAGGGGCGAAAUCCAUUGAUCCCAGGAGGACCACCAGUGGCGAAGGCUGCUGACUUGAACACGCCUGACGGUGAGGGACGAAAGCUGGGGUAGCGAAUCGGAUUAGAUACCCGAGUAGUCCCAGCCGUAAACGAUGCAGACUAGGUGUCGGGGCGGUCACGCACCGCCUCAGUGCCACAGGGAAGCCAUUAAGUCUGCCGCCUGGGGAGUACGGUCGCAAGGCUGAAACUUAAAGGAAUUGGCGGGGGAGCACCACCAGGCGUGAAGCCUGCGGUUUAAUUGGAGUCAACGCCGGGAAACUUACCGGGAGCGACAGUAGGGUGAAGGCCAGGUUGAAGGUCUUGCCGGACGAGCUGAGAGGAGGUGCAUGGGCC